This 429-nucleotide ribosomal RNA is filed under the name Chloroflexota bacterium. RNAcentral's name for it is "Chloroflexi bacterium partial 16S ribosomal RNA". It matches the Rfam family "Bacterial small subunit ribosomal RNA", at positions 355 to 776 of the family's 1533-position model. Lineage: Bacteria; Bacillati; Chloroflexota. The record is from RNAcentral.
UGGGGAAUAUUGCACAAUGAGCGCAAGCCUGAUGCAGCCAUGCCGCGUGUGUGAAGAAGGCCUUCGGGUUGUAAAGCACUUUCAGCGGGGAGGAAGGCGAUAAGGUUAAUAACCUCAUCGAUUGACGUUACCCGCAGAAGAAGCACCGGCUAACUCCGUGCCAGCAGCCGCGGUAAUACGGAGGGUGCAAGCGUUAAUCGGAAUUACUGGGCGUAAAGCGCACGCAGGCGGUCUGUCAAGUCGGAUGUGAAAUCCCCGGGCUCAACCUGGGAACUGCAUUCGAAACUGGCAGGCUAGAGUCUUGUAGAGGGGGGUAGAAUUCCAGGUGUAGCGGUGAAAUGCGUAGAGAUCUGGAGGAAUACCGGUGGCGAAGGCGGCCCCCUGGACAAAGACUGACGCUCAGGUGCGAAAGCGUGGGGAGCAAACAGG